This 73-nucleotide transfer RNA is filed under the name Felis catus (domestic cat). It matches the Rfam family "tRNA". From Rfam's summary of the family: Transfer RNA (tRNA) molecules are approximately 80 nucleotides in length. RNAcentral also lists the same sequence under 3 other names. The record is from Rfam by way of RNAcentral. Lineage: Eukaryota; Metazoa; Chordata; Mammalia; Carnivora; Felidae.
AUCUGGCUAGCUUAGUUGGUAGGGCAUGCGACUCUUGAUCUCAGAGUUGUGAGUUCAAGCCUCACGUUAGGCA